AAUGAACGCUGGCGGCAUGCCUAACACAUGCAAGUCGAACGAGACCUUCGGGUCUUGUGGUGCAUGGGUGUGUAACGCGUGGGAACCUGCCCUUAGGUUCGGAAUAACUCCCCGAAAGGGGUGCUAAUACCGGCUAAUGUCUUCGGACCAAAGAUUUAUCGCCUUUGGAUGGGCUUGCGUUGGAUUAGCUUGUUGGUAGGGUAAAAGCCUACCAAGGCGACGAUCCAUAGCUGGGCAGAGAGGAUGAUCAGCGACACUGGGGCUGGGACACGGCCCGGACUCCUGCAGGAGGCGGCAGUGGGGAAUAUUGGACUAUGGGCGGAGGCCUGAACCAGCAAUGCCGCGUGAGUGAUGAAGGCCUGAAGGUUGUAAAGCACUUUUACCCGGGAUUAUAAUGACGGUACCAGGAGAAUAAGCACCGGCUAACUCCGUG
This 433-nucleotide ribosomal RNA is filed under the name uncultured bacterium. RNAcentral's name for it is "partial 16S ribosomal RNA". It matches the Rfam family "Bacterial small subunit ribosomal RNA", at positions 29 to 507 of the family's 1533-position model. The record is from RNAcentral.